AACGCACCUUGCGCUCCUUGGUAUUCCGAGGAGCAUGCCUGUUUGAGUGUCGUGAAAUCCUCAACCUCCUGACUUGUUGUUGGCCGAGGCUUGGACUAUGGAGUUUGCUGGUCCCCCUUCACAGGGAGGUCCGCUCCUCUUAAAUGCAUCAGCGAACCCGCAACGGCGAAGCUUUGGUUUGAUAAUCACUUUGUCAAAGCCAUUGCUCGACAUCGCUGUCGCUUCGCUUUUGAACCCGUCCAGGAGACGGAAUUUUUGACACUUUGACCUCAAAUCAGGUAGGACUACCCGCUGAACUUAA
This 301-nucleotide unclassified non-coding RNA is filed under the name uncultured fungus. RNAcentral describes it as "sequence contains ITS2". The stretch from base 1 to 52 matches the Rfam family "5.8S ribosomal RNA", at positions 103 to 154 of the family's 154-position model. Lineage: Eukaryota; Fungi. The record is from RNAcentral.